RNAcentral lists this unclassified non-coding RNA (2711 nucleotides) under Hevea brasiliensis (rubber tree). Lineage: Eukaryota; Viridiplantae; Streptophyta; Magnoliopsida; Malpighiales; Euphorbiaceae. The record is from RNAcentral.
CUUAGUUUGUAUAUAUAAUUCAUGAUAAACUAACAAAGUUUAGGUAAGAUAUUUCUAUGAAUCAGAUAAUUACAAGAGUAAUGGGACAGCCUCCCGUCCAAUAGAAAAAUCAAACAAAGUGACUUCAAAUACAAAAAAUAAAAAUCGAGAAACAAUGAAAAAAUCAACAUGAACCGUAGUUGCCCUCAGCUCAAAUACCUCUCUUCACGCCAGGUUAAAGUCGACUUCCAACCAUGAGAAUUUUCAAAACUGAAGCUGAGUCAAUCACAAGACUAUGCCUUUCUGACUCCAGAAGUUUAUUAUUGACCCUAUGGGCUAUGAAUAACCAGAAAGAUGAACAAUUCCUUUUUUUUAUAUUAAAAAAAAAUUGUGUAUGAAAAUCGAUAGCAAAAAAUGCAAAAGUAAAUGCACAUUAAAUAUUGCAGCAUAACAUUUUGAAACCUUUUAUGUUCCUCACUCCCUCUGAUGCGAACAACAAUGGGACUAGGUAUUAACCUUUUGUGUAUAUAAACUCUUCCCAAAAAGGUUGGAAAUAAGCAUAUCCUAGUGAUGUGCACCAUAGAAACAAGCAGGGAUUAACUUCAAUAUUGUGUAUAGUAGUACCCUCCUGGUUGCCCCAUACCACUGAGCUGUGGCAUUCCAUAAGGCAUCAUCAUUGGUUGAGGACUAGGGCCAUAAUACCCAGAGGCACCGCUAAUAUUGGCCAAACCCACUUGACCUUGCAUCCCAUCUCUUCCAUAUUGUUGCCAAAUCUGCUGUUCCUGAACCAGCAAGUGCUGCUUCCUUUCCAUGUCUGCUAUCUGCACAUAUGAAGGGGGAGGAACUGCAAAGGAUGCAGCAAAUGGAUCCUGGUUCCCAACUGGCUGGAACGUCCCAUCAGGUGCAGGCAAUGCCAACACUGGUGUUGCACUCUUCCCUGGGCAAGGCAAUGCCACACUACUUGCACUCCCAGCACUCAAUUGAGUAGUGUUCACAUGUUGCCUCACUGCUCCCUGAUCAUACAUUCCAUUCAAUAGCAGUGGAUCCAUACCACCCCCUAAAGUAGCUUUCUGCUUUGAUAGAUUACUAGUUGAUUCCACCAAUGCCAAUUCCCAAUCUGCUUUGCCACUCUCAGCAGCUGGUGUCUGCCAAGCUGAAGUCACUUCAGAAUCUCCAUUCGAUGGGAAUGCUUCCCAUGAAUUAUUUGUACAGGUAGUUGGAGGUCCAUUGAACAAAGCCAAAGCCAAUUUGUUGCCUUGCUCAUCAGCUGAAACUGCAUCGUCCUUCAAAUUCACCAAAUCCUCUGUUAUCUGAUGCGGUUGUGGCUUUGGCUGUGGCUCAGUAGGUGGUGUAGGGAUAUAAUUUUCUGGUGGAGGAAGAGCCUUGACCUCAUUCAUAUCCGGUUCUGGUUCCUGCUUAAUAGAAACCUUCUCCUCCUUACUUCUCUCCGGACCCUUAGAUGUCUUGUUAGUCAUUUCUUUCAAAAAUCCUUCAAGUGUCCCCAACAGCUGAUCAGUAAUUCUCUGCACAGCAGGGAAUUCAGCUGAUCUUGCAAUCCCUAUAUCCCUACACCAACCAUAAAACCCAACAAGUUCAUCUAUCAUCCUUGCUGCACUAACAUACAUAUCAAAUCCCUUAACACAAUCUGCAUAAUCCAUCUCAGUAAAUCUAUCCAACAACAACCCCAAUGCCUCACAUAUAUCAACAUAAAGCCCAAAACUUUCCUUCACCACCCUGUAAAGUGAUACAAGCACCAACCUGCUAUUCUUUGCCAUCCCCGUUGGCCUACAAGCCAAAACUCUAUCAAGCAUCCUCAACAACUGAUUCAAUUUGCCUAAAACCCUCUCUGGUCUCAAUUGUCUAAUCGGAGAGGCCUCUCUCCUCUGUUCUUUUCCAACUGAAUCACCAUUCAAAUCACCAUAAGCCCUCGAUCUCUUAGGCAUCCCAUAAUCAAAAUCAUCCCUAUGUUCUCUUGGUCCAAACCCAUCAUAACCCUCAUCAAAUUUCCUUUCAAUGGCUUUCAAUUUCUGCUCAGAAAAUGCAAACUCAACUUUCUCAUCAAGAUACAUUGCAUAAAACCUCACAAACGCGGCAUGAUCCCACGAAUGGGAGUGUGCCUCAUCUCUAAAACCCGACAUAUUCAAAACACGCAUCCCUCUCCUUGUGGCAUACACAAUCUCCUCCUCAAAUGAAGGGUGGCCAUCAACCAGAAGCCUAUGAACAAGCAUCAAAGCCUUGAUCGCCACAAUCCAGUCAUGCGUUUUGCUUAGGCGUCUAGAUACAGUAGCUACACAAGCACUAACAUAACCCCUAGAAUAAGAAGUAAGGUUUAUAAUCUCUCUAAUGUACUUCUCAUCGGCAGGGUCUUCAUCAUGGCUAGUAACUUUAACAACCAAAACUUCGAGGUCCGGAGCUAUGUUACCAGCCACUUUGGCUAUGCUUAUGCUUGUUUGAUCUUUUACGGCGCCGAUCGCUUUGCGGAUCGUGCUGGUUGCCAUUGGUUUUGCUUAUGUGAUCAAAGUGUUUGAUACUAUUCUGUGGUCGGAGUUGUCAAUCAGGAGAUCUACUGACCGGAGUAGAGGAUCCGGAGAAUCCAAAAGGAGGGGAAGGUACAGUAGUAAUGUAUGUAUGUUAAAAUGCGUCUCCGCGUGAGAGUGUGUGCGUGUUAAGUAACGACGAGGGCGGGCAGCACAGGCUGCUAAAAAGCUAAUGCACGGGAAGUCCCAUUUUGC